RNAcentral lists this ribosomal RNA (218 nucleotides) under uncultured bacterium. Its description in RNAcentral is "partial 16S ribosomal RNA". It matches the Rfam family "Bacterial small subunit ribosomal RNA", at positions 139 to 353 of the family's 1533-position model. The record is from RNAcentral.
GGGGAUAGCCUUUCGAAAGGAAGAUUAAUACCGCAUAAGAUUGUAGUAUCGCAUGAUAUAGCAAUUAAAGGAGCAAUCCGCUAUAAGAUGGACCCGCGUCGCAUUAGCUAGUUGGUGAGGUAAUGGCUCACCAAGGCGACGAUGCGUAGCCGACCUGAGAGGGUGAUCGGCCACAUUGGGACUGAGACACGGCCCAGACUCCUACGGGAGGCAGCAUG